GAUGAACGCUGGCGGCGUGCUUAACACAUGCAAGUCGAACGGAUUCAUAUUGAAACCUAGUGAUAUAUGAAUUAGUGGCGGACGGGUGAGUAACGCGUGGGUAACCUGCCAUACACAGGGGGAUAACAGAGAGAAAUUUCUGCUAAUACCGCAUAAGACCACGGAACCGCAUGGUUCAGGGGUAAAAACUUUAGUGGUGUAUGAUGGACCCGCGUCUGAUUAGCCAGUUGGCAGGGUAACGGCCUACCAAAGCGACGAUCAGUAGCCGGCCUGAGAGGGUGAACGGCCACAUUGGGACUGAGACACGGCCCAAACUCCUACGGGAGGCAGCAGUGGGGGAUAUUGCACAAUGGGGGAAACCCUGAUGCAGCGACGCCGCGUGAGUGAAGAAGUAUUUCGGUAUGUAAAGCUCUAUCAGCAGGGAAGAAAAUGACGGUACCUGACUAAGAAGCCCCGGCUAACUACGUGCCAGCAGCCGCGGUAAUACGUAGGGGGCAAGCGUUAUC
This 506-nucleotide ribosomal RNA is filed under the name uncultured bacterium. Its description in RNAcentral is "bacterial SSU rRNA". It matches the Rfam family "Bacterial small subunit ribosomal RNA", at positions 28 to 545 of the family's 1533-position model. The record is from RNAcentral.